UUCGACCUGGUCGAGUCCAAGGACGACUUCCUCGCUCUCGCCGAGGGCGACACGCCCACGCACGUGCUCGGAACCGCGCAGGUCGCGG
This 88-nucleotide transfer RNA is filed under the name Oerskovia enterophila. RNAcentral's name for it is "tRNA-Glu". The record is from RNAcentral. Lineage: Bacteria; Bacillati; Actinomycetota; Actinomycetes; Micrococcales; Cellulomonadaceae. RNAcentral also lists the same sequence under 1 other name.